CUGUCGAUCUGUGUCUCGAAGAACAGAUAAUUACUUUAGUUUUGAUUUUUAGUUGUAGUUAUAAUUUGUGUUUUGCAGCUUGACCGAAAAUGGGGCGAUAAUAACAUACAAAAAUUGAAGUCUAAGGAGGUAGUGCAUACAUUGUCAUCUGGAUACGCUUUUAUUCUUUGUAUUGCUUUUUCGUAAUUAUGUUUUAUUAAGACGUAAUCGAUCUGACUUCGUAAUAUGUACCUAGCUAUUGUAGCUGUCCCUAUCUACUGGGGAUUUUCAUUGGAGGAUGCGCUUAGUAUGUUAGAAGAAGAUGAACAUUGAGUAGCAAAUGAAGACAUUAUUACUUUGAUGUCUCCAAUAAAUGCAUGUGAUGUCCUAACAGACAAAUACUCUGGUGAUGAAGAUAUAAUGUUGAUGGAUAAUUUACCUGGGUCGCAAUUACAAGCUUCUGCUGAAAUAAAUAUGCAAAAUAAUGAAGGUGACGCAUUAUUAUCUGAUUUCCAAGAUAAUAUUUCAUUACCAGAGCCGGGAGAAAAAAGAACAGUGAAGGGUGUAAACAGGGUCGCCACGUAACGAAGGGGCUCAAGGGUUGGUACUCAAGCAGCUCCUUAGGUCCUUGUUUAAAUAAAUACGACUUCAAUCUGAUAA
Long non-coding RNA from Diabrotica virgifera virgifera (western corn rootworm), 639 nucleotides. RefSeq lists it as uncharacterized. NCBI's taxonomy places the organism in Eukaryota, Metazoa, Arthropoda, Insecta, Coleoptera, Chrysomelidae. The transcript has 3 exons. The record is from RefSeq and is a predicted model, not a curated record.